This 305-nucleotide ribosomal RNA is filed under the name uncultured bacterium. RNAcentral describes it as "bacterial SSU rRNA". It matches the Rfam family "Bacterial small subunit ribosomal RNA", at positions 334 to 655 of the family's 1533-position model. The record is from RNAcentral.
GUGUCCUACGGGACGCAGCAGUGGGGAAUAUUGCACAAUGGGGGAAACCCUGAUGCAGCAACGCCGCGUGAAGGAAGACGGUUUUCGGAUUGUAAACUUCUGUUCUUAGUGAAGAAAAAUGACGGUAGCUAAGGAGCAAGCCACGGCUAACUACGUGCCAGCAGCCGCGGUAAUACGUAGGUGGCAAGCGUUGUCCGGAAUUACUGGGUGUAAAGGGAGCGCAGGCGGGAGGCCAAGUCAGCUGUGAAAACUAAGGGCUUAACUUGUAGACUGCAGUUGAAACUGGUUUUCUUGAGGGGAGUAGG